GGAAGGAUCAUUAUCGAAGAGAAAUCCGGAGGGGAAGAUGAACGAGAGAAUUUAGUAGGAAUGGUAGGGACUGUCGCUGGCCUUUGGUAAUGCGAAGGCAUGUGCACGUCUCGGAAGUCUUGCUUUUCUCGAUCUCUUUCCUUUCGUGAACCCCCUUUUCCUUACACCUGUGCACCCAUUGUAGGUCCCGCAAGGGAUCUAUGUCUCUAUCUACUCUUAAAUGUAUGGUCUUAGAAUGUCUUGAAACGUCGUCCGGCCUGGCUAACGCUUGGUUGGUGGCAGUAAAGAACCUU
RNAcentral lists this unclassified non-coding RNA (293 nucleotides) under uncultured fungus. RNAcentral describes it as "sequence contains ITS1, 5.8S rRNA gene, ITS2 and 28S rRNA gene". Lineage: Eukaryota; Fungi. The record is from RNAcentral.